GGCGGACGGGUGAGUAACGCGUGGGUAACCUGCCUCAUACAGGGGGAUAACAGUUGGAAACGGCUGCUAAUACCGCAUAAGCGCACAGUACCGCAUGGUACGGUGUGAAAAACUCCGGUGGUACGAGAUGGACCCGCGUCUGAUUAGGUAGUUGGUGGGGUAACGGCCUACCAAGCCGACGAUCAGUAGCCGACCUGAGAGGGUGACCGGCCACAUUGGGACUGAGACACGGCCCAA
This 237-nucleotide ribosomal RNA is filed under the name uncultured bacterium. RNAcentral describes it as "partial 16S ribosomal RNA". It matches the Rfam family "Bacterial small subunit ribosomal RNA", at positions 97 to 334 of the family's 1533-position model. The record is from RNAcentral.